This 460-nucleotide ribosomal RNA is filed under the name uncultured bacterium. Its description in RNAcentral is "partial 16S ribosomal RNA". It matches the Rfam family "Bacterial small subunit ribosomal RNA", at positions 338 to 795 of the family's 1533-position model. The record is from RNAcentral.
CCUACGGGAGGCAGCAGUGAGGAAUAUUGGUCAAUGGACGGAAGUCUGAACCAGCCAUGCCGCGUGCAGGAAGACGGCUCUAUGAGUUGUAAACUGCUUUUGUACAAGGGUAAACCUGAAUACGUGUAUUCUGCUGAAAGUACUGUACGAAUAAGGAUCGGCUAACUCCGUGCCAGCAGCCGCGGUAAUACGGAGGAUCCAAGCGUUAUCCGGAUUUAUUGGGUUUAAAGGGUGCGUAGGCGGAUUGAUAAGUUAGAGGUGAAAUGUCCGAGCUUAACUCGGGAACUGCCUCUAAUACUGUUGAUCUAGAGAGUAGAUGCGGUAGGCGGAAUGUAUGGUGUAGCGGUGAAAUGCUUAGAGAUCAUACAGAACACCGAUUGCGAAGGCAGCUUACCAAUCUAUAUCUGACGUUGAGGCACGAAAGCGUGGGGAGCAAACAGGAUUAGAUACCCCAGUAGUC